UCCUACUGCAUAAGGUAAAUUGAAACAUCUUUUUUGGGCGAUUCCCAAUGCAUUCAGGAUUACAAACUGUUUGGCGAUGCCGUCACUUUUGAUACAACGUAUAACACGAACAAGUAAAAGUUGAUAUAUGAGAUGUUCUGUGGAGUCAAUCAUCAUCUCAACUCUAUUCUAUUUGACGCUGGAUUCUUAUCGAAUGAGGUGAAAGAAUCGUUUGUUUGGCUAUCCCAACAAUUCUUAGAUUGCAUGUAUGUUGCUCCAGUUACUAUUAUUACUGAUUAGGACCGAACAAUGGAAGUAGCACUACCUAUUAUCUUUCCGAAUACAUUCCAACGUUCCUGUAAAUGGCAGAUCAUGCAUAAAUUUCCCGAUAAAAUUGGCAAUGUCUAUAGAGAUAAAAAUACAAUGAUAGAUUUUUAUGAUUUUCUUAAUAAUUCAGAGUCGACCGACGAAUUUGAUUCAAAGUGGAACACCUGGACCUCACGACAUAACUUGUCUACUCACAAAUGGUUAGAAGAAAUCUUUUAGAUAAGACAUAAGUGGUGCCCUGCAUAUAUGACGAAUUAUUUUUUUACUGGUAUGUCAAGCACACAGAGGAGUGAGUUUAUGAAUCAUCACGUGAAGAUGAGAGUUAAACCAUGUUUUACCUUAUACGAAUUCAUUGGUUCGUUGGAGAUUGUAUUAAUAUCGAUGAGGGACAAAGAACUACAAAGAGAUCAUGAGGACAUUUUUGGGCCGCCACAUCUCAUCACAAAUCUUCCAAUUGAAAGAUCCAUUCUACACAAAUACACAUCCGAAGCUUUUCGCUUAUAUCAAGAACAAGUCAAGUUGAGCUUGGGAUUUUUCAUAAGACC
This 851-nucleotide long non-coding RNA is filed under the name Zostera marina. Its description in RNAcentral is "long non-coding RNA (ZMAR_LNC000381)". Lineage: Eukaryota; Viridiplantae; Streptophyta; Magnoliopsida; Alismatales; Zosteraceae. The record is from RNAcentral.